Molecule: long non-coding RNA, 1063 nt
Filed under: Sus scrofa (pig)
Lineage: Eukaryota; Metazoa; Chordata; Mammalia; Artiodactyla; Suidae
Description: lncRNA (ENSSSCG00070024299.1)
Source: RNAcentral
AGCAGAUGACAGAAUCAGCAAAUUCUGGAUGGAGUUCUCACCGGAUGCCUCAAUCUCUUCAGUAAAGGGUGUCAAGUGAAGAAAGUAUAAAGUCUGAAUUGAGUUCUACCCAGAAUGUGUGAAGGGGAGGGGGGAAAUCCAAAACAGGAGUGGAAUAUUGGUUCUUAUUAAAAGUGCAUUCUAAAUUUUAAUUGGCCUUUUGUAAACUUCAACACAUUUCUGGCUCAUAAUUGCCCUAUUUUAGCUUUAAUUUUAAAUAUUCAUAUAAAAUUCUAGUUCACAAACUUUCCAUCUCAACAACUGAAAACAGUGAUAAGCAUUAAGUUACAUUCUACUUUAAUUCAGACUUGAACUCCUCUUUUGAAAUGCAGUAAAAGUUGUUUUCAACUCAAGCAACAAAACAGCAAUCAUUUCAAGUACGAGUAACUGAAGAGCGCUCCUAAACUGUAAGAAUGUUUGCAAAAAAAGGCUUUUUGUAGUUGUUGGUGUUCAGCCCUUUGCCUGCCUCACUCUAAAACAGAUCCUUAAUAGAGGGAAUCUUGGGUUCAAAUCCUAGCUCACCUAGACAAGUUACUCAAUCUCUUUGCGUCUCGGUUUCCUCGACUAAAAAAUGAGAAAUACAAUAACCAGGAUUAUCCCAAGGAUUAAAUGACGUAAUACAGGUGAAUGUGCCAAGUUCGUACUAUGUACUCAGAACAGUUUGCUAACCGUUUAAAAGAAAAAACCUGCAGCACUUUGACCAAAUUAAAACAUCCGAAAGCCUGAGUACAAGUCACAAAACGCCAGACCCCAACACACAGCACAUUAUUUUUCUUCCCUGACGCAAGCUUUUUUUUCUUUUCUUUUCUUUCCUUGCCAAGCCCUUCCACUAAGAGUCUGAAAAGAGGACGGGGAAAAAGGUUACAUUCAAUCCAGCAGAAAGUUUUCCGAAACUGAAGUGCAGAAUCACAACAGACAUGGCAGCGGAGGCAGCGCAGGACAACAGAAGCGUAAGAGACAAAUCGCAAAUAUUACCCUCGCAGCUCCCGGACAAGGGAGGUGAGCGCCUUUCCCAUUUAAGGAU